UUUCAUUCAGUCAGCAAAUAUUUCCUGGGCAUUACUGUGUGUUAAGAGUUAGCAAGAAAGAGAGUCUUCUAUUUUAGAUGAAAAUCUCGCACCCCCACUCCUGGGUCAGCCCCAGUGCCCAUGCAAGCUCUGCUGUGGUGAUGAAGCGUUCAGGACUUGGUUUGGGCCAGACCGUAUGUAGUGUAUAUGAAAGCAUUUUCUGGAGGUGAACACAGACCUUUAAUCAGGAUAGUUUUGCAUUUUUUUCCAUUCUAGAUUUUAUUUUAGGACUUUUAGUUAUCAAAAAAAUCAGUUGAAUUCUGGAAAAGAAUAAAAUGAACAUUAUUUGAAUAGUAUAAUGCCACCCAUGCCUGUACUAGACCAUUUCACAUAUAUUAUUUCAUGUGAUUU
RNAcentral lists this long non-coding RNA (390 nucleotides) under Homo sapiens (human). RNAcentral describes it as "HSALNT0152330". Lineage: Eukaryota; Metazoa; Chordata; Mammalia; Primates; Hominidae. The record is from RNAcentral.